Long non-coding RNA from Felis catus (domestic cat), 7315 nucleotides. RefSeq lists it as uncharacterized. NCBI's taxonomy places the organism in Eukaryota, Metazoa, Chordata, Mammalia, Carnivora, Felidae. The record is from RefSeq and is a predicted model, not a curated record. The transcript is spliced from 5 exons.
AAUAUGUAUAAUAUGAUAAGGUAUAAAUGCCAUGCAAAAUGUAAUUGAAUAAUUUUGGUAGUGUUAAACGCCAUGAUGAAAAAAUACAUUAGGGAAGAGGAAUAGAAAAUACAUUGUCUUGGGGCUUCCUAAGACCACUGUCAGGUUCAUUGUUGAUCUAGCAGGACUCACAGAACUUGGAAAGCUGUUAUAUGCACUGUUACUUUUUGUCACAACAAAACACACAUCAGAUUACAAUAUAAAGGAAAAAGAUGCUUAGGGCAGAGUCCAGAAGAAACCAGGAAUCAGCUUCCAGUUGUCCUAUCCCAAUGGAGUCACAUGGCUUGUACUGAGUUUUCCUAGCACUAAGUGUGUAAAACUUGGAAAGUCUUUUCAACCAGGGAAGCUCACCAAAGCCUUGGUGUGCAGGGUUAGUUAUGUAGGCAUGUAACACCAUCCUGACUGAAUUUAGCUAUUCAGUCUCUAGGCUGCUAGAGGUCAAACUGCUACAGUGUGGCUCAAAGCCCAGGCACGCAAAAAUAGGCAUUCACCAUAAAUCCCAUUGUUAGCCUAAACUAUUAUGGCCCUAAGCUUCAGAUAUACAAAGAGACUCUUGUCAGGAUACUCCAAAGUCCCAGAGUUCUUCUCCCAGGAGCUACAUCAAGGAAGGGUAGGGUUUAAGCAGUGUAGGUAUGCUAAGUUAACUGUUUACUUUCCAAAGAGAGGCAGAAGGAUUUUCUAAUAGGGAUUUUCCUUUUAAUCUCUUCUUUAAAUGUAACUCAUUUUACAUUUCUUGGCUGCCAGUUCUCCAUGUGCUAAUCUACUUUGUUUCUUAUUCCAAGACACUGCUAAGCACCAGUGUGUGUCAGUGCGUACGUGUGUGUGUGUGUGUGUGUGUGUAGUAUUCUAGUACAAGGUACCACUAAAUGUAUAACUUAUAAUUUAUUUUCAUUGUAUAUGUUAUCAGAGUCAACACUGAGAAACAUAAAGCUUUUCUUUUCCUUAUUUUUAACAAUGAAAUCAGUUGAUGUAUACCAUGAAAUCAAAAGAGUGCAUGUGUGCGGGAGAUGACAGGGACUGGAAAGAGGGAAGAUACAGGAUAUACCUGUAGGUAUAGUAGAGAAUUUUACAAUUGGUAGCUAUUUGUACAUUAGCUGCUUGAAAAAAAUCUGCUUCUUCCAAAAGUGAAGUGCAAAUUAUAUAAUAUGCAGUAUGUGUAUUUAUAGAAAACAAAUACAUAGUCAUUAUAGCCUCUCCUUUAAGGUCAUUAUGCUUGAUGAAAUUUACAUCUUUCUGAAAACACAGUCAUGCUCAUCUCCUAGAAAAUGUACAGUAGAAGGCAAAGUCCUUUCCUUCUGCUUCUAAUAUCAUGCAUUUGUACUUAGAGUGGAAACCCAUAGUUGUGAAAAUUAAAGAAAAAAAUGGAGGGCCAGCUGUGUUUCAGUGGUAAGGAGGGCUUAAAUUAAUAAACCUAUUCCCCUGCAGCUGGAGGACAAGUAUCAAGUCUGUGAAGAGGAGGAAGACUUUUGCCUUCCACACCUGUCUUUGAGCAAUAGGUUUCAGAGAAUGUUACCUAAAGGCAUCAUCACUGCUCCCCACUGACCACACUGUUUGCUUGUGAUACCUUUCUUGUGAACAGAGAGCCUUUCUAGUGAACAGGGAGUUUUAUGUGGGAAGAAAAUGUGGAUCACAUGUUAGAGUCACUUAAUAUGUGUCACUUAAUAGUAAAGUAAGGUGUGCCCUAUUACAUAUAUACUGUACACACAUAUCUCAUAUAUAUGAUAUACACAGUGACAACCAAUUUCGUAGGGAAAGUUCAUAUAAAACAGUUUCACCUCAUUUAUACCAAAUUGUUAAGUAGUUUUCUAAUUUUUUUUGACUUUUAUGAUGUUGCCACUUUCUGUGGAGCUGCCUAUAUUUAUGACACAGAGGGUUUUUUUUGUUGGAAUUUCUAAUUUGCCACACUCUUAGCUACCCAUUUCCCUUACAGCUUCUAACAUAACUGCAUGCACUAUCACCUUGAGUAGGGCAUAUUAACUUGUCUAUCUCCACGUUUGGCUUCUAGAGUCUUCUCCAAUCUUCUCUUCACAUUGUUUGUUCUACACCUUGUUCCUUCUCUGUAAAAUCUCUGAUUGUGCCCCGUGUCCUCACUCUUGGCCGAGUACCAGCACUCCCACUCAGGAAAUCCAGUUUGCUCCCAUUGUGUGCUGGCUGCCCCCACCUUGAGUCAUACAUUCUUCUUCAUUUCCCCACACAUUCUUUGUGUGUUCCACUUCUCCUUUUCCGCCGAGCCCUUCCUCUCCGCUCAGCCUGCCCACACGCUCAGAUCUCAGCCUCUCCAACCCACGGCCGCCCACUCUUGCUGCCACUGCUCUGGGUCCUCCCUCCCUGGUCUCACCUCACUCGGCACGACUGGGUGGCUGCCUGGCUCUUCUUCUGCCUCGGUUUUUUUCACCUUUCCAGUCUAUUCAUCACACUGCUGACUGAUUAAUCUUUUUAAUAUCCUCAUGUCACUUUAUUCUCAAAAACCUUUAAUGGCUCCCCAGUGCUUAUUAAUAAAGUUCAAACUCCUUAGCUUUGCGCUUUGCCAAGCUUUCCCCAUGACCUGGCUUGCUGCCAGCUUCCUCAGCCUUCUCUCCCUCUACUCACCUUUAUUUUCUCUACCUUUGGUCCACACCACAUUGUCAAUUGUUGUUCCCUGUGUAUGCCCUGUCCUUCCCAGUGUUCUUGUCUUGGCUCACAUCAUCCUUCAGCCUGGAUUCCUCUCUUCCUUUCAAGUAUGUCUCCUUCCGCUGCCCCCUGCUACUCAAAUUUCACAUCUAGCUCAAGUUUACCUCUUCCCAGAAGCUUCCCUAGCUAGAAAUGCUCUCUUCAUUCCCAUGGCUUUUUGUAAUAGGGGUAGUUUGUACGCCUCUUACAGUACUUAUUCCAUUUUGUACUGUUACUGUUAUUUAUGUAUACAGCUUCAUUUCUCCUAGAAUGAAAGCUCUUUAGGAGAGAGUGUAUACUUCUUUGUUGUGUAUUCUAUAGUACCUUUUUAGCACAAUAUCUGAAAAACACUAAUGAUAUGUUUACUGAAUGAGUGAAUAAAUGAAUGCAUAUCUCCAGAAGAAGGAACUGCUGAUGGAAGUAUACCUCAUAUCUUAACUCAGUAUCUAGGUGUGAAUAAAUUAAAAUAAUUACCCUCAGCACAUCAAUUCUUCCGGAUAUUUUGUAAUUGCUCUUAUCAUGUAAAGCAUAUCAAGGUAAUUGGAUACAAUGUGUUUACGAGCUGUAAGAUAUAUUACUGUCCCAGACUGAAAUUUGUUUCCAUCUAGAUUAGUAAUACUGCUUUCUAAUGACCUCUGAAUCUUACAGCACAAGUCAUUAGGGUAUUUAUCGGAAAUAGAAAUCAGAUGAAAAAGCCGUUGUAUCUUUUCCCCUAUCUCUACCCUCACCUAAAUGCAGAAAAUAGUAUCUUCAAAACAUUUACUGUUCUGUGGCUUUUAAGAAAGCCCCAAACUUAACACACAAACACACUGUGUGCCUCUCUUAUAUCCUGACCUAUAAAAUUGCACACUUUAAAGUUAUUUUGAAACUCGGAAAUAGAAAUGGGAGCAUCAAAAUGCAACAUUGUCAACACAUUUAAAAAUUUUGUAGGUUCGAGCUUUCUGAAAGGGACUUCUUAUUUUUAUUCCUCCUGCUGAAACUCCCAUUUGUACUGUGUUGCCUUCCCCAAGGAUCCCCAAUAAGCUUCACCCAUUUUCCCACCACUGAAAAGAGAGGUACCCCUAGGCUGGAGAGCAGCUCCCAUUUAAUAGUGCAUAACAACAGAACCAGGGCUGUCAAACUCUGACAGCUUGAAUGAGGGAAGAUUUCAAACAAUUAUGAGUGGGAUUUUAAAUGCCUCACCUGAAAUACAUUGCAGAGUCCUUAUCACAAAAGGGAGAUACUUUGGAAACUGCCUGAAAAUUCAUCCAAGAGGAAUUUAAGAGAAACUUGGCAGGUGCUCAUGACACAACAGUUGAGAAUAAGAAAUGAAGCAGUGCACUGAAGGGAUUUAGGGAGGUUGAACAUAAUCAUUGAUGUAAGAAUGAGGCCAGGACCCAGGAGAUGCAAUCCCUGCCCUUUGUUACAAGACCUCAGGGACUGCAAGUGUCUAAACCCUUCCUUGUUUUGUGUUUCGUCUGACGCCAAGCAGUGUUAUUCUUAUUAGCUAAAAAAUAGGAAUUGUCUUGUUGAGCAAAACCUAUUCAGGCCUGGACAGAGAGGGACAUCACUACUAUUAAUACACCAUUCUUUAAACACAUUCAUUCAUCCUUAACAACACUCUGCUAGAAAAAUCCAUGAUCAAUGCAAGUAGGUCUGUUUUGUGGAUAAAGACUGUAAGUGAAUAAGUAAAUACGAAUUCUGUUGUAGUCAGGUUCUAGGUGAGAUUGUUUUUUACAAGCCGUGCCCUCUAUUUUUUGCAGACAGCCAUAUCAGUGUGCUCCAAUAACUUGCCAGCUUGACUCCAAUAACGUCUUGAAAUUUUUUUUGGCAUAUUGCCCAACAAUUUAUUUAGACUGUUUUGACUUUCAGACCUCUUUAAGUAUACUUUUAUAAGCAACUUUAUUCUUUCCCACCUUUAUAAAUAAUCAUUGAAAUGAAGACUUCAACAGAUGAACUAAGUGACUUUAGGUCAAGCCAUUCUAACCAUCUACUUAACUGUGAUUUAAAUAUUUUAAUUUCCUAAAAGGCCAAGGAAAGAAGAAUGGUUUGUUAAUGUCCACAUGGGCCCACAGUCUUUGUAUCUACACUCCUUGAGGCCAGAUGUAUUUUAGAAUCACAGUUUUUGACUUUUAGAAACUGUAUACAAUGCGUAUGUCUUAUACAUUUACUAACACUGUUAGUGGCAUCUGGGCAGUGCCUGUAAUCACUAUAUUAAUAUUUCUGCUGUGAAAUGUGUACAUAUUCAUAUCAGUUUAGGUCUGUGUUGCUACCAAAUGAGUUACAACCGUCUUGGUUUUCUGAAAAUUUUAAGUUUCAAAUUGCAGAUAAAGGACAGAUAUUUACUUAAUUUUCUUCAUUCUUUAAAACAGGUAAUUAUAAACAAAACCAACAACAACAAAACCUCCAACAUUCUUUUUAUUUAUAAGGAACUUGAACCUCAGUGAAAGAUGGGUCAUCUCCUAGCUUAAUGUACAUCCUGCCUACAGAGAGGAUAUAUGUCCGGUGUUCUCUCACCCCUGUGAUCAGGAAACGGAGAUAAUGACAAAUGAAGUGACUCUUUCUGAGGACUAACAGAUGUAAGUGGAGGAAUCAGAAUUUGGAUCCAGGAUGGAAACAAAGCCUACACUUACAAGAUGUGCAGAGGAGAAAGGUUUACCACAGCUGCUCGAGGAAGAUGGACCCAGAAUAAGAAAUUUUCUACUUGGAUUUGGGGAAACAGUAAAUUCAUUCAGAUCCCUCAUUAUUUUCAGAGGAGUGAGGCAAACAGCUCGAAGACUGCACUUCCCUUUGUCCCUUGCCAGUGAGAAGCAAGCGAAGUAAUGUAGAGAAAUGCCGGGAAGGCUAACUCAGGUGGAAGAUGUACUUCUUCAGGCUCCUUAUUCCUUUUUCUUGCUGCCUGAAAUUCUCCAGGCACCAGCCAUCUUGAUCCCUAAGGUAGACUUCAUUAUACAAACCACGUGCUAAAUGGCAGAUAAAAAUAUAGAGUCAUCAUAGCACCUCUGGUCUACCUACCUCAAUUAACUUUCUUUUACUUACACACAACAAAUUACAAAUAGCAUAAAAUGGAGUUCUCUUGGUAAUUUCUACUUUCUCUUUAUCAAGAGCUGGAAAAAGAAGAAUAAGUCCUUUGGUUUCAGCCUUGAUUAUUUGGAGGUUUGUGUUACCUGUAACUGAAAAAAAAAUGAAUUCAUACAGAUAUAUAGUACCUCAUUAAAUCAGAAAAAAAAAUUCAUGGAUUAUAGAUGAGCAACAUCUAGAAUAAUCUUCUGCAAAAUGUUACCUAGGGCUAAAUGUGUUUUAGAAGCAGAAAACAGCUUUUUUUGAGUAACAAAUUAAUAGAAUUAUGGAAUUUAAAGUUUAUUAGGAAAAGAAUUGGAUGCUUUGUGGUAAUUAUCCAGCAUAGGGAGAGUUUAUGUAUAGCAGUUGUGCUGCCGGCAGAAAGCUGGUAGGUAGAUUGACAGAAGAGUUAUUUCAGAGCCAGGCUGCUGUGAAUGUAGAAAUAGCCUCAAUCAGUUCAUGCUCCUGAGGACAAAUGAUGAUUCCUUAUUAUGCUUGAACUAUGAUGAAAUCAGUGAAGGCAUCGUGGUAAGAAGAAAAACCAUGGGGAUGCUAUUAAGAGUUUAGCAAUUCUAGUUUGUGUGGGAAUAUGGAUUCCACUUACCAAAAAUAAUAGCAUAUAGGAAAAGAAGACAGAAGUUACUGUCAUUGUUUUUGAAUUGCUCCCAAGCUAUUCCAUUGUGUCAUGAAUUUCAAGUCAAAUUUCAUGUUUUUAGUAUUCAUUUUAUUAGUGUGAUGUAUGUGUAGUGCCACAAUAUUACUAUAAUGAAAUAAUAUGAUAUUAUGAGUUGUCUUCCCCAGAUCUAAAGUAAUGCUUGUAAAACAUGUAGUGGAAAUGCACAUCAAAAUGAGAGGUAGAGAAAGAGCAAGAGGGAGAGAAAUGGAGAGGGAGAGAGAUUGCUUCUCUCCCGUUACAUUCCUGGGUCGUAGUGCAGUCUUGUAUCAGUGCUCCUUUGCUCAUAGGCCAUCAUUAUUGUGUCCAGUUUUAAUUUGUGGCAUACCCCACCAUAAAUUAGGCUUGUUAAUGCAGCGGUAUACUAGUAUUACUGCUUAUCCACUGGACACCUGAAUCUUAGUUGUAGGGUCAGGUAAUAAAGUACACCCGAUCUGGAUAUUUAUCUAUCAAAAUACCCAGAAGGGUUCUUCAACUGAUGAUUUCAUGGAGAAAACCAAAGAAUGAUUUGAAAAUGGCUGAAUCUGAAUCUACACUCUGGAAUAAGAGCUACAACCUUAUUUCUAGGCAAUUAACUUUCUUUUACUUACACACAACAAACUACAAAUAGCAUAAAAUGGAGUUCUCUUAGGAAUUUCUACUUCCUCUUUAUCAAGGACCUGGAAAAAGCAUUUUGCCAUAGGAAUGUCUCUGUGCUGGUUCAAUUGGAUUCUUUUUCAAGAUUCAACUGACAGCCAAUUUGGGUGUCACUUCCUUACAUCCAUGGGAGACAAUGAAUGAAAUUUAAGGUCUUCAAAUAUGGGUACGAAUUAGAUGAUGGAUUGAAGAAAAGGAAAAGGCAUUCCAAGCACUAUGAAUAUCUUUUUUUUUAAUUUCUUUAAUGUUUAUUUAUUUUUGAGAGAGAGAGAGAAAGAC